This is a long non-coding RNA of Drosophila santomea, 440 nucleotides long. RefSeq lists it as uncharacterized. The transcript has 3 exons. Lineage: Eukaryota; Metazoa; Arthropoda; Insecta; Diptera; Drosophilidae. The record is from RefSeq and is a predicted model, not a curated record.
UAAAAAUGUUUACAAAAAAUAACAUUGGCUCCACCUAUGUCUGGAAAAAUAAAACUUUGGUAAAUUAUAUAGCCUAGACUCAAACCAUUGCCAUGUAAGGCGAAUUCAAACAUACAAAUAGAGCUACUUUUAAAAUGCACAAAAGCAAGAAUAUUAUUCAUGGGAACAGACAAAAAAAAGGACCCUACGCAAAUAUAAUGUAUAUACAACAAAUUGACACCAACGCAGCCCAAACUCAGCGCUCGAAUUCCUUAUGCAUGAGACGACACCGACUUGGGACUUGGGCAGCGGAUCGCACAUUAUUUGGCAGGUGCCAGUGAAGCAAAACUCAAAACUUUCUUUGCCCGAAGGGCGGGCACACGCCUCUAUUAAAUUUGUAAAAUUAUUAGAUAUGCGGGACAUGUAGCAAGCGAUUAACACGCAAAGCCGCCAAAAAAUAA